Molecule: ribosomal RNA, 396 nt
Filed under: uncultured bacterium
Lineage: Bacteria
Description: bacterial SSU rRNA
Rfam family: Bacterial small subunit ribosomal RNA
Source: RNAcentral
AUUGAACGCUGGCGGCAUGCUUUACACAUGCAAGUCGAACGGUAACAGGGAGCUUGCUCCGCUGACGAGUGGCGAACGGGUGAGUAAUGCAUCGGAACGUACCCAGUCGUGGGGGAUAACGUAGCGAAAGUUACGCUAAUACCGCAUACGUCCUGAGGGAGAAAGCGGGGGGACCGUAAGGCCUCGCGCGAUUGGAGCGGCCGAUGUCAGAUUAGCUAGUUGGUGAGGUAAAGGCUUACCAAGGCGACGAUCUGUAGCGGGUCUGAGAGGAUGAUCCGCCACACUGGAACUGAGACACGGUCCAGACUCCUACGGGAGGCAGCAGUGGGGAAUUUUGGACAAUGGGCGCAAGCCUGAUCCAGCCAUGCCGCGUGAGUGAAGAAGGCCUCGGGUUGU